GAACCUCUGGUGUUCGGGUUGUCAUGCCAAUGGCAUUGCCCGGUAGCUACGUUCGGACGGGAUAACCGCUGAAAGCAUCUAAGCGGGAAGCCCCCUUCAAGAUGAGACUUCCCUGAGGCCUUGCGCCUCCUGAAGGGCCCUUGAAGACUACAAGGUUGAUAGGCUGGGUGUGGAAGCACAGCAAUGUGUUGAGCUAACCAGUACUAAUUGCCCGUGAGGCUUGACCAUAUAACACCCAAGGGGUUU
This 246-nucleotide ribosomal RNA is filed under the name Cobetia sp. UCD-24C. RNAcentral's name for it is "partial 23S ribosomal RNA". It matches the Rfam family "Bacterial large subunit ribosomal RNA", at positions 2703 to 2925 of the family's 2925-position model. The record is from RNAcentral. Lineage: Bacteria; Pseudomonadati; Pseudomonadota; Gammaproteobacteria; Oceanospirillales; Halomonadaceae.